Molecule: long non-coding RNA, 497 nt
Organism: Gorilla gorilla gorilla (western lowland gorilla)
Lineage: Eukaryota; Metazoa; Chordata; Mammalia; Primates; Hominidae
Exons: 3
Source: RefSeq, a predicted model, not a curated record
UCCGGUCCUGCUGAUCUCUGGAGGACAGGUACAGACAGCACUAGCUCAUGCACGAGUCAUUCAAGGGAGGUAGGCAUUUUCUCAAAGCAACUCCCUCUCCAGGCAUUUUAGGGAAGAAGGAAAACAGUCUUGGCUCACUCACACUUCUCUUUGUUGGAGGCUCCUUCCUAACGAGGCACAUUUGGGGCUUGCUUCUGGGAUAUGUAUUUUUAAAGUUCUCAGCAGUCAGCCUGAUUGCUGCUCUCCUCAACCCAGCAGUGCCAGAGCUUUCCAACACACAGACGUGAAGCAGCACACUGGGAGCCACUAGGACUCAGCAAGCGCAUGUAUAAGCAUGACCAUCAGCGACACUGAGGAAGAGACUGAAAACCCAGACUGCAGGACUACAAAGCACAGAACACAGGGAUACUUAGAGCAAAUGGUCUCUCCUACCUGCCCCAACUGGCCCUGAGGGCAUAAAUGUAUUAUGACAUUAAAUAAUAAUGAAUAUUCAUCAU